GAUGAACGCUGGCGGCGUGCCUAAUACAUGCAAGUCGAGCGAACAGAUAAGGAUCUUGCUCCUUUGACGUUAGCGGCGGACGGGUGAGUAACACGUGGAUAACCGACCUAUAAGACUGGGAUAACUUCGGGAAACCGGAGCUAAUACCGGAUAACAUAUUGAACCGCAUGGUUCAAUAGUGAACGGCGGCUUUGCUGUCACUUAUAGAUGGAUCCGCGCCGUAUUAGCUAGUUGGUAAGGUAACGGCCUACCAAGGCAACGAUACGUAGCCGACCUGAGAGGAUGAUAAGUCACACUGGAACUGAGACACGGUCCAGACUCCUACGGGAGGCAGCAGUGGGGAAUAUUUGAAAAUGGGCGAAAGCCUGAUCCAGCCAUGCCGCGUGUGUGAAGAAGGUCUUCGGAUGGUAAAGCACUUUAAGGGGGGAGGAAGGGCAGUAAGUGAAUAACUUGCUGGUUGGACGUUACCAACAGAAUAAGCACCGGCUAACUUCGUG
RNAcentral lists this ribosomal RNA (497 nucleotides) under uncultured bacterium. RNAcentral's name for it is "partial 16S ribosomal RNA". It matches the Rfam family "Bacterial small subunit ribosomal RNA", at positions 28 to 507 of the family's 1533-position model. The record is from RNAcentral.